UACGUAGGAUGCAAGCGUUGUCCGGAAUUAUUGGGCGUAAAGAGCGCGCAGGCGGUUUUACAAGUCAGAUGUGAAAUAUCCGGGCUUAACCCGGAGGGGUCAUUUGAAACUGUGAGACUAGAGUACAGCAGAGGAUAGCGGAAUUCCCGGUGUAGUGGUGAAAUGCGUAGAUAUCGGGAGGAACACCAGUGGCGAAGGCGGCUAUCUGGGCUGAAACUGACGCUGAGGCGCGAAGGCUAGGGGAGCAAACAGG
RNAcentral lists this ribosomal RNA (253 nucleotides) under uncultured bacterium. Its description in RNAcentral is "partial 16S ribosomal RNA". It matches the Rfam family "Bacterial small subunit ribosomal RNA", at positions 524 to 776 of the family's 1533-position model. RNAcentral also lists the same sequence under 1 other name. The record is from RNAcentral.